Cygnus olor (mute swan) is the source of this 484-nucleotide long non-coding RNA. RefSeq lists it as uncharacterized. The record is from RefSeq and is a predicted model, not a curated record. NCBI's taxonomy places the organism in Eukaryota, Metazoa, Chordata, Aves, Anseriformes, Anatidae. The transcript has 4 exons.
UUGAGUGAAGAAGGACACACUGACAGCAUUCAAACUCGGAAGGAAAGAGUCCCCAUGAGGUGGGGAACUGAAGAAGGAAUGGACAUUUCAGCAACUGAAGCAAUCAAGGGAGGAAAAGGUGUGCUAAGACCUUGGUUUUCAGCUGUUGUAUUUCAGUGGGAAGCACAGGACACAGGACAAGGACAGCUGAAAACACGGCAAAUCAAAUAAACAGAGAGCAGCUGAUUACAGUUUCUGGCUGAGACUGCAGUGAUAAAAUCGGAAAGCUUCUGAAAGCUGAUAACUCUGAAACAAAUGCUGUGACUUCAGUGCCGUUGUUUGCAGAUGACAGCAGAGCUUCCCGUAAUAACAGCAGAACCGCACAGAAACCAAAGCACGAAUUUUGCUUAAAAAACCGUUUCGAGAGGCGACAAAGUACCGACGAGCCAGCAGUUUCUGCCGCCGGCACUUCACGGCUCCUUCUCUGCGGCUGCCUCCCCGUGAG